RNAcentral lists this long non-coding RNA (589 nucleotides) under Ananas comosus (pineapple). RNAcentral describes it as "long non-coding RNA (ACOM_LNC043267)". The record is from RNAcentral. Lineage: Eukaryota; Viridiplantae; Streptophyta; Magnoliopsida; Poales; Bromeliaceae.
AGGACUGAGAUUUUGAUAGUGUAGCUAAAUACUCUGUUAACGAUAUUUUUGUGUGUAAUUUAAUUACAUAAGCACUCAUCAAGUUUUAGGAGAAAACGAGUUAGAAUGAAGAAGUUAUGCGAUAAAUACAAAUCACUUAAAGUGAUCAAUAGUAACUCCGGUUUUCCGGAGAGGCUGAUGAGUAGAGUUGGCUUCUAGCGCGUAUCGGACUUCGUUCAUAGCGAUCCAAUAGCUUGUUUUGAACGGUUCAGCUAUUCUAGAACCAAUGGCACUGAUAGAUUUCAGAUCUGAUGCACGGUUUUCAAGAAAAAAGAGGUUUAUUGUUUUUACACAUAUAGGUAUAUAUGUGGUUUUUGGUAUUUGGAGAGUGGAUGAGUUUUGUCGUGAAUCUGUGAUCAAAUCGAAUGAAACGAAAUACUAGAUUCGAUGCCCUAGUCGUGCUGAAUGCGCUGGCGUAAUUCGUUUGGAAAUCCGACGGACAGAUCUUCGGGAAUUGCGAAAUGUUCGCUGAGGGGUCGAAAUCGGCAAAACGAAAAAAUUGCGAAAAGCCCAAUAUUUUAUGCGCCGUUUUGCGUGAUUUCGAACGUCG